CCCCUGGUCGGGUCGGAGGCAGCAGGCACAGUACGUACAUAUAUGUAUCUAUAUAUAUACCUAUAAUCAGUGGACAUUUCAUGGGGUUUAUUCCUUGUCUAUCUAGCAAAACCAAUCAUAAGCAUGGAUUAAUACUAGACAGACCUAACAAUAAUCAUAUGUAUAGCGGUGACAAAUAAGCUGGAUGGAUGGGCAGCUGGGUCCUCCUACUCCCUCCCUCUUCUCUGUACAAUGAGAAUACGAGGCCCAUCGAUCAUCCAUCCGUCCUCGGAUUAGUAGUAGCAUCCGGUACUCUGCGACUUCUUUUUAAUUACUACGACUAGUAGACUGCUGCUUGCUACCAUGUGCUCCAAUUCAGUUUCAGUUGCCGUUCUCGCUUGAUCCGGAAUACCCGUAGGGGUUCUUGCUUGCCCAGUUCCACAGGUCUCUGCACAUCUCCUCAAUCCCGUACUUUGCCCUGCAAUUUCAGUUUUCAUUCAGUUUCCAUUAGGAUCCAUCGGUCCAUCAACCACCAUCUGUAGCAGAACGGCAACUAUGUAUACAUCAUCUGUGCUAACUACUUACUUCCAUUUCAACUCCUUCUCGGCCUUGGCCGUUGCGGCAUAAACAAUCUCCGCAUCUCCAGGUCUUCGCCCAGCAAACACCAGAGGGAUUUUCUGAAAGAAUCAAUAUGCCAGUCAGUUGAUAAGUCGUCUGGGAACUGGCCGAUGAGUUAAACAUCCAUCAGAGAGGACAUACGUGCAAGCUGGCUUAAAUAAACUCUUACCUUGCCAGAAGCCUUCUCAAAUGCAGCCACCAUUUCCAGCACUGACGUACCCUUUCCUGUGCCCAGAUUGUAUACUUCACACCCUGCGUGUAUCAAGAUUACAAUACCACGAAACAGAUCAGCAUCUCAUCAUUAGGUAGCUUUUGGUGAAACAGUAGCUGAGGUGUCGAUGUAAUUUACAAUCAAGAGCUGCUUGAAUAAGGUUGCAAGCCUGUCCUCUUACCUAUUUUGUCUGAGUCUUCGUAGAGCUUCCUCAGAGCUGCUAUGUGCCCAUCAGCCAGGUCAACAACGUGGAUGUAAUCACGCACCUGGAAGGUGUUUUAUUUACAGGAAUACUUAUAUUAGUAACAAGCUGGAUUUCUGAAUAGCCUAGUAUAUAUGAUGUAAUAACAGAGCAGAUAGAGUACAUACCCCAGUUCCAUCCUUUGUGUUGUAGUCCGUCCCAUAAACUGUCAGGUGAGGUCUCCUCCCAACAGCAACUUGCUGAACAUAGGGCAUCAGGUUGUUUGGGACUCCAGAGGGGUCUUCACCAAUGUAUCCGCUUGGAUGAGCACCAACAGGGUUGAAGUAUCUAAGCAGUAUGAUCUUCCAGUCAGGGUCUGAACGGUGGACAUCACGGCAGAUAUCUUCAAUCACAAGCUGCAGCAAAGUAUCAUCACAUCUUAGUCAGAUUCUUUUUUCUACUUCCUUAUUCCAUUUUGAGGGCACAUGUAUUAUGUAAUUAAAAAGACAAUUAUUUUUGGGAAAUAAAAGAACCUUGGUUCGCCCAUAGGGGUUGGUGGCGCAAAGGGGGAAUUCUUCAGUGCAUGGCACUUCCUUGGGCCACCCAUAAACAGUUGCGGAUGACGAGAACACCAGCUGUGAUGACAAAGAAACAUGUUCAGUUAGCUUUCCUAGGCCAGACAUAUCAAUCUGAUGCAUACAUCACUCCAGUUGCUCUUGCUGCAUGUAUGCAAACAUGACUACAAAUUAGUGCUGGCAUAUUAUAUAAGAAAAUUUUGCUGGGGGCCAGGGGUGAUUUUGCAGUUCCUGGUCUAUGUUUCACCACAGAAAAUAUCAUCACAGAGCAGUACGAAGCAGAAAACACUAGAUGGAUGGAUUGCCUGCUGGCCACAGCUACCAGAAUCUGGGACCAUCUCAUUCAAGAUGUUGUCACGUAUGGCAUGCCUGCAUGGCUCCUCCGUGACACAAAUUUACAACUUGGGUGGCAGAUGAUGAAAAGAAAAAAGGCAGCGCACCUGGUCCAGAAAGCUAACUAGGACACCAGCAUCCUGUGACCCCAGCAACACAAAUGCAAUGCAAAGUAGGCCAACCAAAGCAAGUUGUAAAGCAAACAAGAUUGCCCAAGAAUGCAGGGCCGGAGAAAAAGACGGAAAGCCUACUUGGCGUAAUAGUACCAAACAAUUACCUUCUUGCAGCCAUGUGCAGCCAUCACCUCGAGGAGGGUGAUGGUGCCGAUGAGGUUGUUGUCAUAGUAAUGCAGGGGCUUCUGCACGCUCUCGCCAACAGCUUUGAGCCCAGCAAAGUGAAUCACAGCUUCAAACCUGCAACCACGAUUGGAGUUCUCUGUGUUAGAAGCAAAGGAAAUCUGAACCUUCUAAAGAUCAACAGCAGUGGCCCAGCCCUUCACGAAAAAAAUAAGCAUCACAGACUGCUGAGCUGAGCUGUGCUCUGAAUAAAUGGGGAGAGAGAGAGAGAGAGAGAGAGAGAGAGAGAGUAGUAGUAGCAGUGGCGGUGGUGGUGGUAGUGCAUUGUUUUCCAGCAGGCCAGGAGCCAAUUCAAUUCAAUCAUUCGACACCUAAGCAAAUACAAGCAAAGCAGCAGAUUCGGCAGGCAGGUAAGUCAAUAGUUCAUUUGAUUGGCAGGCUCCCAUGAAAGACUAGUGCUAAUGAUGUUACGCUAAUGAUAAAGCAAGCAAGGCCUUGUUUAGUUGGCCAAAUUGGGAGAUGCAAAAUUACUGUGCUGGCACUGUAGCACACUGUAGCGUUUCGUUUGUAUUUGUGAAUUAUUGUCCAAACAUUAACUAAUUAGGCUCAAAAGAUUCGUCUCGCAAAGUACAACAAAACUGUGCAAUUAGUUUUUAAUUUCAUCUACAUUUAGUACUCCAUGCAUGUACCGCAAGUUUGAUGUGAUGGGGAAUCUUCUUUUUGCAUAGUGCCAAAGUUGGGAGUUAGGGGUGAAGUAAACAAGGACCAAGAGUGUCAAGAUUACGAAUAAAGUAGUGGCAUACUGCAGCAAAUCAUUACUGGUUGGUUUAAAUUCCAACUGGCGCCCGCCGGGCGCAAAAGUGGUUAGUGUCAACCACGCCUCGACUCAUUGCUAGUUGGCAUCUUAAUAGUUACUUUAUUUAGCAUCUGUACUAUGUUUUUUUGGGAUUAUAAACUAACAGAACAGCGAGGUACAAGGGGCAGAGGUUGAUUCA
This 3188-nucleotide long non-coding RNA is filed under the name Setaria viridis. RNAcentral describes it as "long non-coding RNA (SVIR_LNC002635)". Lineage: Eukaryota; Viridiplantae; Streptophyta; Magnoliopsida; Poales; Poaceae. The record is from RNAcentral.